CAGCAGCCGCGGGAAUACGGAGGGGGCUGGCGUUGUUCGGAAUUACUGGGCGUAAAGCGCACGUAGGCGGCUUGGUAAGUUAGAGGUGAAAGCCCAGGGCUCAACCCUGGAAUUGCCUUUAAGACUGCCGAGCUAGUAGGUGAGAGAGGUAAGUGGAAUUCCGAGUGUAGAGGUGAAAUUCGUAGAUAUUCGGAAGAACACCAGUGGCGAAGGCGGCUUACUGGCUCAUUCUAGACGCUGAGGUGCGAAAGCGUGGGGAGCAAACAGGAUUAGAUACCCCGGUAGUCCCUGUCUCUUAUAC
This 301-nucleotide ribosomal RNA is filed under the name uncultured bacterium. RNAcentral's name for it is "partial 16S ribosomal RNA". It matches the Rfam family "Bacterial small subunit ribosomal RNA", at positions 509 to 807 of the family's 1533-position model. The record is from RNAcentral.